GAUGAACGCUGGCGGCGUGCCUAAUACAUGCAAGUCGAGCGAACGGACGAGAAGCUUGCUUCUCUGAUGUUAGCGGCGGACGGGUGAGUAACACGUGGAUAACCUACCUAUAAGACUGGGAUAACUUCGGGAAACCGGAGCUAAUACCGGAUAAUAUUUUGAACCGCAUGGUUCAAAAGUGAAAGACGGUCUUGCUGUCACUUAUAGAUGGAUCCGCGCUGCAUUAGCUAGUUGGUAAGGUAACGGCUUACCAAGGCAACGAUGCAUAGCCGACCUGAGAGGGUGAUCGGCCACACUGGAACUGAGACACGGUCCAGACUCCUACGGGAGGCAGCAGUAGGGAAUCUUCCGCAAUGGGCGAAAGCCUGACGGAGCAACGCCGCGUGAGUGAUGAAGGUCUUCGGAUCGUAAAACUCUGUAUUUAGGGAAGAACAUAUGUGUAAGUAACUGUGCACAUCUUGACGGUACCUAAUCAGAAAGCCACGGCUAACUACGUG
RNAcentral lists this ribosomal RNA (497 nucleotides) under uncultured bacterium. RNAcentral describes it as "partial 16S ribosomal RNA". It matches the Rfam family "Bacterial small subunit ribosomal RNA", at positions 28 to 507 of the family's 1533-position model. The record is from RNAcentral.